Non-coding RNA from Danio rerio (zebrafish), 54 nucleotides. NCBI's taxonomy places the organism in Eukaryota, Metazoa, Chordata, Actinopteri, Cypriniformes, Danionidae. The record is from Rfam.
AAAUAAAUGAAAUGUAAGUCGCUUUGGAUAAAAGUGUGUGCUAAAUGACUAAAU